GAUGAACGCUAGCGGCAGGCCUAAUACAUGCAAGUCGAACGGGAUCCAGAUCAAAGCUUGCUUUGGUCUGGUGAGAGUGGCGCACGGGUGCGUAACGCGUGAGCAACCUACCCUUGUCAGGGGGAUAGCCCGGCGAAAGUCGGAUUAAUACCGCAUGACAUCAUUGAGAGGCAUCUUUCGAUGAUCAAAGAUUUAUCGGACAAGGAUGGGCUCGCGUGACAUUAGCUAGUUGGUAAGGUAACGGCUUACCAAGGCUGCGAUGUCUAGGGGCUCUGAGAGGAGAAUCCCCCACACUGGUACUGGGACACGGACCAGAGUCCUCCGGGAGGCAGCAGUAUGGAAUAUUGGUCACUGGACGGAAAUCUGAACCAGCCAUGCCGCGUGCAGGAAGACGGCCCUAUGUGUUGUAAACUGCUUUUAUACGGGAACAAACGUCGGUACGUGUACCGGUCUGAGUGUACCGUAAGAAUAAGGAUCGGCUCACUCCGUG
Molecule: ribosomal RNA, 490 nt
Filed under: uncultured bacterium
Lineage: Bacteria
Description: partial 16S ribosomal RNA
Rfam family: Bacterial small subunit ribosomal RNA
Source: RNAcentral